UAGCCCCCUGCUGCCAUCCCCAGCAACUGUACUUGGGUUCCCUAAUAGGGCAUCAGUGCCAUUCCCAGGCAUUCCUUGGUCCCUGAGGCUUGUGCUCCUUAUCUCAUCUGCUGGAGUCCUCCGGCAGAUGCUCAGCUUCGCUCCCCCGCACUUGGGGCUUGUGCUUCCCAGCUCUGCAGCUGGCAUCUCCCGGCCAGCAUCCCGCUCUUCCCCCAGCCAGCUGUGUUCUUGGCUGCCUUUUGAGCAGCCCGCGCCUCUCUGAAGCCCCGCCCCCACCGAUAUGCAGGCUCAGGCAGCUCUGAAAUUGCAGAUCCUGCAUCAGCAUUUCUUCCUGGCCGCUGCUUCUUUUGACUCCCUGCACUUUCCACAGAACAGAGAUUUCUGAGCCAAAGGAGGGCACUGAUUUGAGCUUGGAAGACCUACAACUAUUCCUGGGAAGCCAGCAGUACAAUCUGGAGCCUGCUGGCAUUUUGGAUGCAAGUGCCAAGAGCGCUACGUAAGAAGUUACAUAAGAGAAUUUGCAGUGCCCAGCCCUGGAACAAUGCUGUGUAUUAGCUCUUAAUCUAUUAAUUAUCUACAGAUUACAGAUACCUUUUUCAGUGCACUCUUCACAUAAAGUCUUAAGAAUUUUAAACACAUGCUUUUAUAUGUUUUGCGUAUAUAUUAUCCACCAAGAUAACUAAACCCAGUGCAUUUGAGUAAGGCUAGGUUAUAAGAUCUAAAAGACCUUAAAACUCUCACACUUACAUAAAAACAUUUGUAAUACUGUUCUGCAAAUGGCUGGCUAAUUGGUUUCUUACCACAUUCUGAAUCCUGUGCGACCCCACCUCACCCAGUUGGCUUGUGUUUGGGCUUCUUCUGCCUGCCUCUUUUCCUCCAGUUCUUAGAAGUUCUGGUGGUAUUGUAUUGGGUCCUUACCUCUCUGGGAUUCUCAGGACAUUUUAGUUACAAAAGGGCAAUGGAGUUUUAUCCAUAGCUCUCACACACGCACAUGAACACAUUAUGUUUUAUUCAAUUAAUCAAAUAACUUAUACCUAUAGAAAAAGAAUUUUCUCAUUUAUGCUUCUGGCACUUGUGUGUGGAUAAGUAAGAAUGAGUGAUCAACAGAGAACAGCUCUAUUCUCUUGUCUUAACCUGUGUUUCGCCUUUUUCAGGGGCAACUCUUGCAGAUCUAAGGAUGUCUGUGUCUGUUGACUUCCUAAUGAUGUAAUCCAGUUCUUCUUUUUCUUCUGUAUUAUGUUUUGCUGCAAUAGUAUAACUCAGUUCCUCUCCCUGAGUAACUGAACAUCAGAUUUACUGGAUGUGAGUCAGAAGGUAGCUACAGCUAGUUAUGAAUGGCCUGAUUUUUAAGGAUCUGUGCAUACUCAUUGCAUGUCACAGUGGGAAUGGCUGGGUGCUGGCCUCUGAAAGUCUCACCCUUCUAAAUUAGUGUGCCUUCAAUAAUUCUUCCAAACAGAAUAUAAAUCUUAAAGCCUCUGUAGGACCCUUUACCUUAUGCCAGAAACACUCAUGUCUUUUUUCAACAGGUCCAAAUCCAAAUUUGUCUGUUAGUGAUUGGGAUAUGAUUGAUAUGGAAGCCAACUUGUCACCAAUAAGGGAAACGUGUUUGUGUCUGUGUGAAAACAAUAAUGUAAAUAUAAAAUAGCAUUGGACAGAGCUUGUAGAUUCAUGGAUAAUUGAUUUACUUACAACAUUUCUUUGAAAAAUACCUGAAUAUCCUAAAUGCUGUUUGUUCCAAAGUCCCUUACAAAAUUUGUAUACUUGAAAUGCAAGCUUAGAACCUAGCUGCUGUUUUAAAAGCAUGGAGCGACAUAACAAAACCAUUUACAACAAAAAAUGGCAAAUAUAUUUAAUGGUAGAAACUCAGGGGGGUAGGGUUGGGGUGGGAAUGAAUUGAGCUGGAAUUUGACAUUGGGACCAAUACCACUAAAGUGCAGUGGAAGUAGAUGGGCAGAAGACCUUAGGUGUCACAGCUGGGAUUUCUUCUGCUGCUUGAGAAUAGUGGCAGAACUUCAGUGCUGCAGUAUCCACACAGGAUGAAGUCCUCUCCACAGACUUGCAAAUGAUCUUCCUUCACUUUCUCUGAGAAAGGAGGAUUUUAUUCCUUUUAUGUCAGUGCUAAUGAGGUACAUAUGCCUAUAAAGCCUCAGAUCAUCAAUGUCCUUUAUGAUGUCUUUAAUUUAAUAAUUAUGAAUUUGGAUCUCUUCAGCCUUCACAAGAGAUGUCUGAGGGGAGACCUUGCAGCAGCCUAUAAGUUUAUCAAGGGAGGACAACAGAGAAUUGGAGAUGCACUAUUUACCAGGGCACCCUUGGAGUAACUAGGAAUAAUGGGUACAAACUAAUGGAGAAUAGAUUCAGGUUAGACAUUAGGAAGAAAUUUUUCACAGUAAGGGUGGCCAGAAUCUUGGAGGUCUUCAAGAGGAGGCUAGAUAGGCACCUGGCUCAGGUCGGACACGAUGAUCCUUUGGGGUCCCUUCCAACUCUACAAUCUAUGAAUCUAUGAAUUUUAGCCUUCAGCAUCAGUCAUUUCCACACCUGAGUUAAUAUUACUACAUUUAAGUUAAAGUUUUUAGCUAGAGCUAAAUACAGUUUGCCAGGGUGUGAAAUAGAAGAGCAAAAGUACCAGGAAUUGCUAACAGACAGAAAAAUUGCAGAAGAAAGGAUAGUUGAAUAGUGAAACAUCAAGAUCGUUAAAAAGGAGAGAGGGUCGUUAACAGCUGUAGAGUAGGGAGAGAUAAGCAGGAAUUGAGGAGAUGAUAAUGAGUCAUGGCACUGCCUGAGCUGAAAUGUCACUGCCCCUCCCAGGCAGUUGGUUUUAAAAUUUUGGAGGAACAGGGAUCAAAGAGAGGGUGCAUCUAUGCCACUGCACCUCCCUGGAUCUGCCCCUGAUAAUGUGUAUAUGUUAUUGUAAUCGCCUUUGUCUCUCUACCGGAUGUCAUGUGUGUGACUUCCACUCAAGCCUUGCCAUGGCUUCUUCAGGACGAAUGGGUCAGUCGCCAGGCAACUUUGGGGUGAUGUACCAGGAGCCUCACCUGCCACAUCUUUGAUGAUCAGUUUAUUUCAAUCGGGAGGAUGAUGUUCUGGUCCCACCUCCCCUGAUGCUUCCCCCAGGACGCUCCCUUCGUGGCUCUUUCAUGGGGGCUCCGUCUCCCCUACACCCCACCUACCACCAACCGUGAUGGAACCAUUUGUCAUCGAGGAUGGUGUUCCAGCUUUUCACCAUGCUCAAGUCUACCAGGUCUGAUGGUCAUAGUGACGCCACCUUUCCUCGUGGGUGUCUGUGGUGGCCCUCUUUCUUCAUCUAUAUAGCGUCUGUGCUUAACAGCGCCCUGUUCUCUGGUGCCUUGCCCCUCUUUUGGGCUUGGACUUGGUUGUCUGUCAGCUGUGACUGACCUGCCAUGCCGCUGGGUCCCACCAGGCUCUGGUCUUUGUCAGAGGUCGAGGCUGUCCACAGUGGCUCUGUGGAUGGCGCCUCCGAUCUAGGCUGCCUAUGAAGUCCUGGGGUGACCCCUUCCUCAGGUGCUCACCAGGGCUUCCCUUGCAGAUUUCUUGUGGGCUCUUGCCCUCCCUGUUGUGCUGGGGACUCCACUUCUGGUCUCCCGGGUUGGUGUUCUAUUGGGCUUUUUAGCAUCUGGCUGGGCAAUCAGCCCCGGCAUGCCUAUACAAAGCACGUCCAACCUGAUGCGGGAGCUGUUCCCAGCUCCCUCCGGCUUGUCCGCUUUUUUUCUCUUUGAACUGUAUCUGCAGUGGCUCCGCCUGCCGCAGUUUCACUUUUGCUGGCUUUGCUCCUCUGGGUGGCAUCCCACCGCCUCCCGGCUUCAUGAGGUAAGCCUUUUUCACAGUUAUGCUGUAUUAAUAAAUUAUUGAUCUUGAAAAGUGACCUAGCUCUAACAUGAUCCCAAUUGUUGUAUAAUUGUACAUUGUGGUUUGUAUUUUUUUCAUCUAGAUUCAUGGUGCAUCUGGAGAAGAAUGAAAAUGGGCUGUCUUCAAAAGCAUUACAUCCUGUUUAACAUCACCUGCUCAGAGAAAUUAAUGGCCCAGCUACCCACACGUGGCAGCCAACCCAAGGAAGCUGAGACUAAAAUUCCUAGCUGAAACAGAAGCUGGGUGUAUAAGCCAGAAACUUGUCCAUGGAAAGGAGCACUUUGCCCACCCACACCGCUGUUAUGAGUCAUGGCAUUUAAUGAGCAUGUGCUGUAAUAAUUCAUAUUUCUGUGCCUCUUGAGUGGUCAAGCGAUAUCUAUCCCUAACAAAGCUGUCAUUCAGUUUUAGCUGGCCUGCAAUAAAUUCUGUUUAAUGGAGGGAAAUACCCCAUGUAAAAGGACUACCUCCUCAGGGCAUUUUUUUCAUCCUUUUGUCAAUAAACAAAGAGCUGUAA
Molecule: long non-coding RNA, 4378 nt
Organism: Alligator mississippiensis (American alligator)
Lineage: Eukaryota; Metazoa; Chordata; Crocodylia; Alligatoridae
Exons: 3
Source: RefSeq, a predicted model, not a curated record